Molecule: long non-coding RNA, 219 nt
Filed under: Mytilus galloprovincialis (Mediterranean mussel)
Lineage: Eukaryota; Metazoa; Mollusca; Bivalvia; Mytilida; Mytilidae
Source: RNAcentral
GGGGUCAAAAGUCUAAUUUGGCUUCAAAAUUAAAAAGAUUAUAUAAUAAGCAACAAGUCUACUAAGUUUCAAGUUGAUUGGACUUCAGCUUCAUCAAAAACUACCUUGACCAAAAACUUUAACCUGAACGGACGGACGCACAGACGGACGCACGGACGAACGGAGCCACAGACCAGAAAACAUAAUGCCCCUCUACUAUCGUAGGUGGGGCAUAAAAAA